GAUGAACGCUGGCGGCGUGCCUAAUACAUGCAAGUCGAGCGAACAGACGAGGAGCUUGCUCCUCUGACGUUAGCGGCGGACGGGUGAGUAACACGUGGAUAACCUACCUAUAAGACUGGGAUAACUUCGGGAAACCGGAGCUAAUACCGGAUAAUAUAUUGAACCGCAUGGUUCAAUAGUGAAAUACGGUUUUGCUGUCUCUUCUAGAUGACUCCUCGCGGAAUUGGCUAGUUGGUAGGGUACAGGCUUACCAAGGUGACGAUGCGUAGCCGAUCCGCGAGAGGGAUCGGCCGCACUGGAACUGGGACACGGUCCAGCCGCCGACGGGAGGCAGCAGUAGGGAAUCCGCCGCAAUGGGCGAAAGCGUUGCAGAACAACGCCGCGUGAGUGAUGAAGGUCUGUCGUUCGUAAGACUCGGUUAUUGGUGAAAAACAAAUGUGUAAGUAGAUAUGGACGUAGUGACGGUACCUAAUCAGAAAGCCACGGCUAACUACGUG
Molecule: ribosomal RNA, 497 nt
Filed under: uncultured bacterium
Lineage: Bacteria
Description: partial 16S ribosomal RNA
Rfam family: Bacterial small subunit ribosomal RNA
Source: RNAcentral